Molecule: ribosomal RNA, 447 nt
Filed under: Triticum aestivum (bread wheat)
Lineage: Eukaryota; Viridiplantae; Streptophyta; Magnoliopsida; Poales; Poaceae
Description: partial small subunit ribosomal RNA
Source: RNAcentral
AUGGCGUUUGCGAGAUCCCUCUCUCCUCGAGCUUGUGUGUUCUCUUCGAUUAGUGCUUCCCUGGUUUGCUUCAAUGGGGUGGCUGCGGAAAGUUUCUCACAAGGAUGUACCACUAGUCUCUCUCUUGAUAGUGCAGAUUCUCUGAAUGAUCCAUUUGUGCCUAAUGAUUUUGCGAUGAUGGUUCUAAUCCUAUGUCUUUGGAAGUCUCUAGGAGGGCUUGACAAAUCUCUAUUUGACUUCUAUAUGGAUCAUAAAGUGAAAUGUUUGAAGAGGAAGUUAUCAUGUGCUGGAAGAAGAAACAUGAAAAUGAAGCUGUGUACUGAUUUCCAGUUUGUUCUAUUUCCCCGCUUCAAUGGCCACUUAAUUUUGGUCUUCACUCAAUUUUCUGAUGUGAAACCUCGGAUUCUUGCGUGGAGAGGGUUCUGUUCAAAUAUCUUCAGCAAGUAA